This 1161-nucleotide ribosomal RNA is filed under the name Pantoea dispersa. Its description in RNAcentral is "bacterial SSU rRNA". It matches the Rfam family "Bacterial small subunit ribosomal RNA", at positions 100 to 1257 of the family's 1533-position model. Lineage: Bacteria; Pseudomonadati; Pseudomonadota; Gammaproteobacteria; Enterobacterales; Erwiniaceae. The record is from RNAcentral.
GGACGGGUGAGUAAUGUCUGGGAAACUGCCCGAUGGAGGGGGAUAACUACUGGAAACGGUAGCUAAUACCGCAUAACGUCGCAAGACCAAAGUGGGGGACCUUCGGGCCUCACACCAUCGGAUGUGCCCAGAUGGGAUUAGCUAGUAGGUGGGGUAAUGGCUCACCUAGGCGACGAUCCCUAGCUGGUCUGAGAGGAUGACCAGCCACACUGGAACUGAGACACGGUCCAGACUCCUACGGGAGGCAGCAGUGGGGAAUAUUGCACAAUGGGCGCAAGCCUGAUGCAGCCAUGCCGCGUGUAUGAAGAAGGCCUUCGGGUUGUAAAGUACUUUCAGCGGGGAGGAAGGCGGUGAGGUUAAUAACCUUGCCGAUUGACGUUACCCGCAGAAGAAGCACCGGCUAACUCCGUGCCAGCAGCCGCGGUAAUACGGAGGGUGCAAGCGUUAAUCGGAAUUACUGGGCGUAAAGCGCACGCAGGCGGUCUGUUAAGUCAGAUGUGAAAUCCCCGGGCUUAACCUGGGAACUGCAUUUGAAACUGGCAGGCUUGAGUCUCGUAGAGGGGGGUAGAAUUCCAGGUGUAACGGUGAAAUGCGUAGAGAUCUGGAGGAAUACCGGUGGCGAAAGCGGCCCCCUGGACCAACACUGACUCUCACGUGCGAAAGCGUGUGGAGCAAACAGGAUUACAUACCCUGGUAGUCCACGCCGUAGACGAUGUCGACUUGGAGGUUGUGCCCUUGAUGCGUGGCUUCCUGAGCUAACGCGUUAAGUCGACCGCCUGGGGGAGUACGGCCGCAAGGUUAAAACUCAAAUGAAUUGACGGGGGCCCGCACAAGCGGUGGAGCAUGUGGUUUAAUUCGAUGCAACGCGAAGAACCUUACCUGGCCUUGACAUCCAGAGAACUUAGCAGAGAUGCUUUGGUGCCUUCGGGAACUCUGAGACAGGUGCUGCAUGGCUGUCGUCAGCUCGUGUUGUGAAAUGUUGGGUUAAGUCCCGCAACGAGCGCAACCCUUAUCCUUUGUUGCCAGCGGUUCGGCCGGGAACUCAAAGGAGACUGCCGGUGAUAAACCGGAGGAAGGUGGGGAUGACGUCAAGUCAUCAUGGCCCUUACGGCCAGGGCUACACACGUGCUACAAUGGCGCAUACAAAGAGAAGCGACCUCG